AUGUACUUGGUGCUCAUCCUAGUCAAAAGCUAAAGAUUCCAGAAGUGCUCUCUUCCUCAAAUGAGAAUUGGUCCUCAACCUCUGCAUCGGUGAAGGUAAGAGCUCUCUGCAACUUUUUGGGACAGAAAACCUCAACAUCGGAAGUGUACACAGCUGUCACAGGGCGGUGAUCGGAUAGCCUGAUAUCAACUGUCCUGUAGGCCUGCAGCCUCAUUCCCUUGCCAAAGGAAAGAAUUCGCAUACCAGGCAGGUGUUCUCCUUCCAGAUUUUGGCUCAUCACUCGUGUAUUUCUCUGAGUUAACCUUGUACUUGUAUGUCGGGGGAAAGCUGAUAACUCCUUCAGUCCACCCAUCAAAUAAAUGCCCUUUCUUAAAUUCUCGUUUUAGCUAUCAUAGAGUAGAAAACAGUGAGGUACUAUUCCUUCAUGGAUAUGAAUUCAUGUGUUUUUUCAUAUGAUAAGUUGAUCCUAUAAUUGAGAUCUCCUAACCAUAUUAUCCUUUCAUGGUCAUAUAUAGUCUUAGGCAUGCUAACUCUGGAAACCGGAUUAAAUAUUGUCCUUCGAUGGAUUUCUUGCACAUCAGCAUUCCUUUUCAGUUCAUCUCCAUCCUUUUCUCCAGAGGUCAGGUGGCAACAUAUAAAGCAAAAGAGUGUUUGAUAAAUGGACAUGCUUACUGCUAUUGAUCCCUGGUUACCAAUAUAACCCAUAGCACCGACACCUACGGUUGAUACUUUCAAAUUUUGAAUAUGCUUCCGCAGGCUUCUUCGUACCCAUAUUGAAAUAAAAACUCCAACCAUCUGCUUGCUUAUUAUCCUUACGAAGUAUGGUCUUUUCGUUUUGACUAGUGCACUUUUGAUGUUAAAAUCAUGAACUAAACAAUCAUCUGGAAAAGCAUUGGAAUCUCCAUGUGCUGAUUUGAAAGACAAACAUGACCUCAGUGCCUUCUCUGAAAUAAAUGGUUUCGUGCUGUCUGGAAGACGCUGGGCCAAUAUAUCCAACGUUGUUUCCAUUUACGGUAGUUUCAGUAGGACCAGAAGUAGAGUGCUCAUAUUUAUUACUAUGAACACUGUCAUCAUCAACGGUAAAAUCUUGUUCAUUCCAUGGGUGCACUUCCCCGCCACUUUCGCUGUCAGAUUCACUAACAAGUUCAUCUUCCACAUCGUCAGAAGGCUUGAACCUUGAUGGAGAAGGAGGAUCACUGUGACAUUUAUAUUUUGGUUUAUCAGGACUAAUCUUAUUCAAUGUUUCACGAAUGAUAUGUUCCCACAUUGCGACAGGACGGUUGUCUUCAGCACCAAAUAUAUUCCCAGCAUUUAAUGGAACAAUUUCUUGAAAUCUAAAAGAUAAUAACUGGCUCCUCCAUAUCCAACCAAUCUUGAAUAUCCAAGUCAUCAGGUGGAAGUCUUCCUGCAACAUUCCAUGUUCCUACGCAGACCCUGCAUAUCAAACCAACAUUUUAAGGAAUAGUGACAGAACGGCAGUAGAUUUUAUAGGUUUCAGCUGCAAUUAGGCUUGAUCUUAAGGGGUUAUUCUUCGCCCAAACCACGCAGUCUCCUCUCCUCAUCAUAUAGUUGGCGCUCCCAAUGGCACAUUUCUCUUCGUACUCGAACUCGCUAUCGGUGUCGUCGUCGCCGGUGGCUUCGCCCUCGUCGGCGCUGAAGUCGGAUUCCGGCGACCUGAUGUUGAGCCAUUUCCGAAGCACCGUCUUCGGCCACAGCUGUGUGCAUGCCCCGC
Molecule: small RNA, 1732 nt
Filed under: Oryza sativa Japonica Group (Japanese rice)
Lineage: Eukaryota; Viridiplantae; Streptophyta; Magnoliopsida; Poales; Poaceae
Description: sRNA Os01g0716900
Source: RNAcentral